RNAcentral lists this ribosomal RNA (229 nucleotides) under uncultured bacterium. Its description in RNAcentral is "partial 16S ribosomal RNA". It matches the Rfam family "Bacterial small subunit ribosomal RNA", at positions 568 to 796 of the family's 1533-position model. The record is from RNAcentral.
UGCGUAGGCGGAUUAAUAAGUCAGUGGUGAAAACCUGCAGCUUAACUGUAGAACUGCCAUUGAUACUGUUAGUCUUGAGUACGGUCAAGGUAGGCGGAAUGUGUAAUGUAGCGGUGAAAUGCUUAGAUAUUACACAGAACACCGAUUGCGAAGGCAGCUUACUGGAUCAUUACUGACGCUGAGGCACGAAAGCGUGGGGAGCGAACAGGAUUAGAUACCCUGGUAGUCC